AGAGGGAACAGAGAGCAGGGUCCCAGGACAGAAGAGGACAUAUUUUGCCUGCUUAACUUGACAAUCACGGUCAGGGACUGCAAUGGCCUGUGCGUGUGCCAGCUGGAGCAAGAGGCUGGCAUUGAUCCUCAUCUCAGCGAUAGUUUGUCUUCACUGAAAAGCUGUUGUUCUUUUAAAAACCAAGUGCUUUGCCUCUGUGGGAACCUAAGCCUGGAUUUUGUUCAGUCCACAAGAAGAAAUUGGUGCAGAAUUCAAGAGUGU
This 261-nucleotide long non-coding RNA is filed under the name Rattus norvegicus (Norway rat). Its description in RNAcentral is "long non-coding RNA NONRATT013269". Lineage: Eukaryota; Metazoa; Chordata; Mammalia; Rodentia; Muridae. The record is from RNAcentral.